AUCUCCCCUCUGCUUGACGCGCUCUCUCUCGCGGACGACUCGAAGACGACGGAACGGAGCUUCGACCUUCGGUGAUCGACAGUGUCACUUGAGGAGGAAGUCUUCGGAUCUCGACGAUACCGGCGGAGUCCAAGCCAUCUUCAGUAAUCGAUACCUAGGGCACGACUGAUCGCCUGCUUCUCGCCGGACCUUUUAUUCUUUCCUCGGCACCGCCGGUGUAGAUUUAUUCCCGGAGCCUCAAGGAUGAGCUAUCUUGUUCUUCUUUGAUUUCCCGCAAACCUCAGCGCCAAACCUUUCCUCGAUUCCUCCUCUUCCUCUUGUGGCGCUGUGCCCUAGCCGGAUCUUGGAGGUAAGGCAUCGUACUCUGUGGGUUGUUGAGAUGUUGUGUGACCGAUUCUUCUUUUCCCUUGCUCGCCAGAGACGUUCGAUUGUUGAGGUAAUCUGGUGGGGGAGUCUUCUUCCGGCAGCAACCAUCUAUGGUUGAGGAUCAGUAGAAAGUGAACUGUUGAUUGCCUCUAAACCUUACGUGAGAAAGAUUCCAGCAGGGAAGUUUAGUUCUGUGGUGUUCUUUGGUCCCAUCAACUACUCUUUCAUGGCAGUAACGAUUCUGGAUUGGGGAUCAACAGAAGGGGAUGAGCUUGAGUUAAGAUUGGGAGGCCAGGGUAUAGGGUCUCAAAGCAAUUUGAUCCAGAGACAAAACAACGGUCUCUUCUGUUUCAGCCAACCCUUUGUUUCAAAGUAUUUUGAUGUUAUUGAUCCUUCAAGGACGAACAACAAUCUUUGACAAAGUUUCAGAACAAGUAAGCGAUUGGUGGUUUGGAUGUCAAUGAGUGGAACGGUAGAAGGGUCGUCUCUGAACCCAAAUGCCCUACACUCUGUUCUGCAGCAGUUGCGGGAGUCAGUGCAGGCAUUGUUGGAACACUUCCAUCAAUGGAGGCAACAAGAGAUGGCUGGCAAAGACUUGUUUGAGACUGCCUCUGUGGAGGCUUUAGUCAUGAACCUGAGCACCAAAUCUCCGAAAAAAGGCGUGAUGCCGGGUAAAUAUCGUGAAAAACCUGUCCAAUGCGUAAGGCCAAAGUGUACUCCUCGCCGCAUCAUUCUUCGAGGCCGACUAGCUAUUUUGUGUUUUUUUUGUU
Zingiber officinale is the source of this 1136-nucleotide RNA transcript. RefSeq lists it as uncharacterized. The record is from RefSeq and is a predicted model, not a curated record. The transcript is spliced from 4 exons. Lineage: Eukaryota; Viridiplantae; Streptophyta; Magnoliopsida; Zingiberales; Zingiberaceae.